UCUUUGUUUCGGGUGAUUGCGCCAAGCACAUAACUUUUUAUGUGCUUGGUGAGGAAAGUCCGAACACCUUCCAGCGUUAAGCUGGAAAAAAGUGGUAGUGGCUAACAGCCACCAUAUCCCUCUCCAGUUUUGCAUCAGAGAUAAAUAGACAGUAAAGAAUGAUUUUGCUUAUCGCGAUUGAUUCGACUGAAUAACUCGGGUGCAAAAUUGGGGAGGGAGAACGGGACAGUGUCACAGAGACAAUACUACCGAUCGUCGUUACGAAAACUCUAAAGGUUUUCAAUGCGAAGGAGGUCAAAGGUGAAAAGAGUGGGGUAAGAGCCCACAGUUCCGGCAGGCGACUGGCGGGAUAAGAAAAACUCCUACCUGGUGCAAGGGGAUCCCAAGUAUUUUUUAUAGGGAAUACCCGCUUGAGCCCGCGAAGCAAUUCCGGGCCUAGACAGAUAAUCACCCCUUUGCCGUAAGGCAGAGGACAGGAUUCGGCUUAUAGAAACAAAGAACAA
RNAcentral lists this RNase P RNA (503 nucleotides) under bacterium. RNAcentral's name for it is "RNase P RNA component class A". It matches the Rfam family "Bacterial RNase P class A". Rfam says of the family: Ribonuclease P (RNase P) is a ubiquitous endoribonuclease, found in archaea, bacteria and eukarya as well as chloroplasts and mitochondria. Its best characterised activity is the generation of mature 5'-ends of tRNAs by cleaving the 5'-leader elements of precursor-tRNAs. The record is from RNAcentral.